Drosophila willistoni is the source of this 294-nucleotide long non-coding RNA. RefSeq lists it as uncharacterized. The record is from RefSeq and is a predicted model, not a curated record. NCBI's taxonomy places the organism in Eukaryota, Metazoa, Arthropoda, Insecta, Diptera, Drosophilidae. The transcript has 2 exons.
AUAACACCAGAAGAAAACUUUUCCUAUGUCAGCUUUGAAAGCAAUGUGGCACUAAAUAAUUAUCGGAUGUUAAUAAAUCAAGUUGUCCAAACAUUUAAGCCGGGGAAGUUCAUAGUAACCAUAUUUGCAAAUAAGUCUUCGUUGGCGUACGAAACCAUGAAGGGAUUGGAAAUCGAAUACUCGACGCAGUCACAUUGGAAACAAACCGAUAUGCAGUGCUGUAAUUUUCCGUCUUAUAACCUUUUAUUCGCACAAUAUUUGUAUCGUAAUAAAAACACAAUGUAAUAUGAUUAA